Long non-coding RNA from Amphiprion ocellaris (clown anemonefish), 1251 nucleotides. NCBI's taxonomy places the organism in Eukaryota, Metazoa, Chordata, Actinopteri, Pomacentridae. The record is from Ensembl.
AUGUUCAGAGGGAGAUGAUGCCACAUCUGGUCCAGCUGAUGGAAGGUCUUGAAGUUCUCUGACUGGCCUGGACUGAAGAUGGUCGUCUCACUGGAUUUAAGAUGCACAAUGAGGGACGUCUGCAGAGACUGAGAAAGAGUCUCACCACAUCCUGACAUGAGGAAAAAGACUUUAUUGAAGACUACAAUGAGAAAAACUAUCAGACAGCAGACGGCUGCAUUCAAGUUUAGGCUGUUAGAUUGUUCCAGAUAAGACAAGUACAAGAUUCUUCAGAGCCGUUCUACCACGAGCCUGACAGGAAGAACUCCAACAGCUACUGAAUGUUCCUGUGGUUCCCUCAAGGCUACAGGAGGAGCCCUACGAGGACGAGCCGGUCCACCUGAUGGCGGCCAGUUGCUGCGGUUCAAAGCCAACACCGACUACGUGGACUUCUACUGGACCACACGGAGGCCUUCAAACCGGACCAACAAGUUCAUCGACUCCCCGACUCGUGGGUCUGAGGACGCCGCCGAGCCUCGGUCCAGCCGGCCUCCUGUCUGUGGGUGUUUGAGUGCUGAGAGGUUUGAGGAUGCAUGUGAACGUUCUGUGUUGAAACAGCAGCUUUGGACUCAGUAACGCUGGGAAAAACCAAGAGCUCCUUUAUUUGUCACUUCCACUAAAAAAACUGAUGAAAAUAAGUUUGCCAGAGUUCUGACUGAUAACAGAUUAUUAAAUAAUGAAAAUAAUCAUUUAAAUAUUCCUUUAAACAAUCCUUUUAGGUCUACAUUUCCUUUACACUGACUUCUUGGUAUAUGUAUCAGUAUUUUGGGUGGAAUAUACCAUUAAGCCCAAUGUUCAAGGGUUUUUCUGGGAAUAUACCAUUAAACCAACCUUUUAGGUAAAUGUUCCAGGGUGUUGGGUAGAAUAUACCAUCAGAUAAACCUUUUAGGUCUACAUUGGAAGAUUUUAGAGUAGAAUAUUACUCCAAACCAUCCUUUAGGUCUACAUUUAAGGUGGAAUACUCCUUUCCACCAAGAUUUUUUGGUCUACAUUGAAGGAUUUUAGUUGGAAUAUUCCUUUGAACGAACUUUUUAAGUUUAUGUUAAAGGAUGUUGGGUGGAAUAUACCAUCAGACCAACCUCCAAGGUCUACAGUAGUGAUUUUUAGGUGGAAUAUAUCAUUAAACUCACCUUUUAGGUCUACAUUGGAGGAUUUUAGGUGGAAUUUUCUUUCAAACUAUCUUUUAGUCUACAUUUAAGGAUGUUUAGGAUG